AUAAAACAGACAGAGGCCACAUGCUUGGCCUUUUCCCUUCACCCACCUACGCUGCAAGCAAUAAGGACACUCUGAAAACUCCAGCUGAGGGGACUGGCCCAGGUUUCAAGGGUGAAAUCUGUGUACUAUGAACUGCAGUAUCCAGUGGGGACAGAUGAGCCCAAGCUGCAGAAUUCAGAUCUGGAUCCAAACUGUUCUGAAAUCUGAGACUAUGCAAACUCGGGGGUCUGAUUUAGCUCACUGCAGAGAUUGGGGGCAAUCAGGAAUUUCAGAUUCAAGCUUCCCCAAAGCUCCAGGCUAUCGAGAUCCAGAGCUUCGGUUCUGACCCUAAUUUUUGGAUGGCAGUUUGACAACACAACGUAUUUCAAAACACAGGGCAGGCCUACUCACGGGAAGCUUGGAAAAACCAUUCUGUUGAGAUGCAUCUAGACCAUAUGUUCUGUAUUUUUCUUCACUCAUUUAUGUAAGCAGGGAUAUUUGCAUGAAAACAGGCUAACAGCA
Molecule: non-coding RNA, 501 nt
Organism: Chrysemys picta bellii (western painted turtle)
Lineage: Eukaryota; Metazoa; Chordata; Testudines; Emydidae
Source: RefSeq, a predicted model, not a curated record